AUUGAACGCUGGCGGCAUGCUUUACACAUGCGAGUCGAACGGUAACAGGCCUUCGGGUGCUGACGAGUGGCGAACGGGUGAGUAAUGCAUCGGAACGUGCCCAGAGGUGGGGGAUAACGCAGCGAAAGCUGUGCUAAUACCGCAUGUGAUCUGAGGAUGAAAGCGGGGGACCAGGCAGCAAUGUUUGGCCUCGCGCCUUUGGAGCGGCCGAUGUCGGAUUAGGUAGUUGGUGGGGUAAAGGCCUACCAAGCCGACGAUCUGUAGCUGGUCUGAGAGGACGACCAGCCACACUGGGACUGAGACACGGCCCAGACUCCUACGGGAGGCAGCAGUGGGGAAUUUUGGACAAUGGGCGCAAGCCUGAUCCAGCAAUGCCGCGUGCGGGAAGAAGGCCUUCGGGUUGUAAACCGCUUUUGUACGGAACGAAAAGGCUCUGGCUAAUACCUGGGGCUGAUGACGGUACCGUAAGAAUAAGCACCGGCUAACUACGUG
Molecule: ribosomal RNA, 492 nt
Filed under: uncultured bacterium
Lineage: Bacteria
Description: partial 16S ribosomal RNA
Rfam family: Bacterial small subunit ribosomal RNA
Source: RNAcentral